RNAcentral lists this unclassified non-coding RNA (206 nucleotides) under uncultured Tomentella. RNAcentral describes it as "sequence contains ITS1". The record is from RNAcentral. Lineage: Eukaryota; Fungi; Basidiomycota; Agaricomycetes; Thelephorales; Thelephoraceae.
CCGAAUUGUCAACAAGAGUUGUUGCUGGUCCUCAGAGCGAGGGCAUGUGCACGCUCUGUUUACACAUCCACUCACACCUGUGCACUUCCUGUAGUUCUGUAGUCAGGGAGGCCCUGCCUUCCUCCUGCAGUCCUAUGUCUCUUCACACACACACACUCAGUUGUAAAGUCUUGUGGAAUGUAUGCUGCGUUUAACGCUAUACAAUA